AGUGAACGCUGGCGGUAGGCCUAACACAUGCAAGUCGAACGGCAGCACAGUAAGAGCUUGCUCUUACGGGUGGCGAGUGGCGGACGGGUGAGGAAUACAUCGGAAUCUACUUUUUCGUGGGGGAUAACGUAGGGAAACUUACGCUAAUACCGCAUACGACCUACGGGUGAAAGCAUGGGAUCUUCGGACCUUGCGCGAUUGAAUGAGCCGAUGUCGGAUUAGCUAGUUGGCGGGGUAAAGGCCCACCAAGGCGACGAUCCGUAGCUGGUCCGAGAGGAUGAUCAGCCACACUGGAACUGAGACACGGUCCAGACUCCUACGGGAGGCAGCAGUGGGGAAUAUUGGACAAUGGGCGAAAGCCUGAUCCAGCCAUACCGCGUGGGUGAAGAAGGCCUUCGGGUUGUAAAGCCCUUUUGUUGGGAAAGAAAAGCAGCAGGUUAAUACCCCGCUGUUCUGACGUUACCAAAAGAAUAAGCACCGGCUAACUUCGUG
Molecule: ribosomal RNA, 492 nt
Filed under: uncultured bacterium
Lineage: Bacteria
Description: partial 16S ribosomal RNA
Rfam family: Bacterial small subunit ribosomal RNA
Source: RNAcentral